CAGAGUGAUGGGCUGCAAAGGAGGCAAUUCAGUCUGUGGCUCCGUUUGCCUCCCUGUAGACGUGUGAAGCCUGGUAAGAGUGGCACUCCCCUAGCAAUCGGCGAGUCUCAUGGAUCAGUGGUCGGUCCUCGGAUUUGCAUCCCCGACCUCGGAUCCACUCAACUACCGUGACCGAAUCUCUCGCAAGAAUGAUACGGUCCGCACCCAGCGCCCGCCUCGCAUAGCUACCCUUCCAGGCUGCUCUAAGCUCAGCACAUGCCAUUGACGAGUUAAAAGUCCGCCGACCCUCCGCCGCAACCGGUCUAGCGUCGUGGUCUCGGAUGGUGAAACCCGCACCGCCGCAUCUUCCGUCAUUAGCCACACUGCCAUCGAAGUUCACCUUCAGAAAACUAGGGAUGGGAGCUCUCAGGAGACAAAGACAGUCUUGGAUGCUAUAGAAGCAGAAUAGGGGCCCCAGAUGUUCUUAACCAGCCCCGUAGGCGAUACCUCUGCCGUGUCGGGGAUCUUCGCAGCAUGCAAAAGCGCUUUAGCCGCUGUCACCCUCGAAUGAGGGCUGCCAUCCUCGAAAACUCGUGCAUUCCUAUCUAGCCAGCACUUGUAGGCUAAAUAGGCAGCUCGAGUCCCCCUCUCCUCUGACUCAGCGCCCCUUACCAAGGCCUUCAGAAACCGCAAAAGAACCUCAGUGGACGACCACCUCUGCCACUGGUCUGUCUGUGUCGAAGCAAAGUGCCACACCUGAGUGGCCC
This 746-nucleotide long non-coding RNA is filed under the name Phoenix dactylifera (date palm). Its description in RNAcentral is "long non-coding RNA (PDAC_LNC018687)". Lineage: Eukaryota; Viridiplantae; Streptophyta; Magnoliopsida; Arecales; Arecaceae. The record is from RNAcentral.